Amphiprion ocellaris (clown anemonefish) is the source of this 525-nucleotide long non-coding RNA. NCBI's taxonomy places the organism in Eukaryota, Metazoa, Chordata, Actinopteri, Pomacentridae. The record is from Ensembl.
CUGAGGCUUCACUCCCCCUGUAAUGGGUCAGCUAGUUAGCUCCAACUGCUAAUUAGCCAGCUGCUAAUUUAGCUAGCACUAAGUAGCUACCUUAACAACCAGCUAGAAAAUAAAUAUGUAAAGUAUAUUUUAUUGUAGCGCCACAGCUGACAUUUAUGUGUGUUUUAUCGAUCACUGGGAAACAACGGUGCUGAACAAACACGCUAUUCAAAUGAGAGUCAGUCCCGCUGGAGGGAAGCUGAGCUCUGAAGGCUAAACUCCCAGGAGGAUCCGAGAGACACGCCGACCUCUGGACGGUGCAGCGGGGGACAAUAACCGGCCAUGAUUGGAAUCGUUGGAUGAACUGAGCGUUUCAGAAGAACAGAGCCGCUGGUUUUGCAUCUUAUUUUCCUGUCUAAAUAAAACGGAUGAUGCAAAUUCCUGCUCUGUCGCCGCUGUUUGGAUCAGCUGUGUGGUUUGGUGUUAAUAUUCAUCAGAGUUCAGCUUGACGUAUGCAAUAGGAUGGACAGAGCUAACGUGUUAAAG